This 496-nucleotide ribosomal RNA is filed under the name uncultured bacterium. RNAcentral describes it as "bacterial SSU rRNA". It matches the Rfam family "Bacterial small subunit ribosomal RNA", at positions 21 to 507 of the family's 1533-position model. The record is from RNAcentral.
GGCUCAGGAUGAACGCUAGCUACAGGCUUAACACAUGCAAGUCGAGGGGAACGAUAUUGGAAGCUUGCUUCUGAUAGGCGUCGACCGGCGCACGGGUGAGUAACGCGUAUCCAACCUGCCCAUCACUUGGGGAUAACCUUGUGAAAGUAAGACUAAUACCCAAUGACGUCUCUAGAAGACAUCUGAAAGAGAUUAAAGAUUUAUCGGUGAUGGAUGGGGAUGCGUCUGAUUAGCUUGUUGGCGGGUAACGGCCCACCAAGGCGACGAUCAGUAGGGGUUCUGAGAGGAAGGUCCCCCACAUUGGAACUGAGACACGGUCCAAACUCCUACGGGAGGCAGCAGUGAGGAAUAUUGGUCAAUGGACGAGAGUCUGAACCAGCCAAGUAGCGUGCAGGAUGACGGCCCUAUGGGUUGUAAACUGCUUUUAUAAGGGAAUAAAGUGGGAGUCGUGACUCUUUUGCAUGUACCUUAUGAAUAAGGACCGGCUAAUUCCGUG